RNAcentral lists this unclassified non-coding RNA (337 nucleotides) under soil metagenome. Its description in RNAcentral is "partial contains 5.8S ribosomal RNA, internal transcribed spacer 2, and large subunit ribosomal RNA". The stretch from base 1 to 120 matches the Rfam family "5.8S ribosomal RNA", at positions 35 to 154 of the family's 154-position model. The record is from RNAcentral.
GAUGAAGAACGCAGCGAAAUGCGAUACGUAGUGUGAAUUGCAGAAUUCAGUGAAUCAUCGAAUCUUUGAACGCACAUUGCACCUCUCGGUAUUCCGGGAGGUAUGCCUGUUCGAGCGUCAUUUGUACCCUCAAGCUCUGCUUGGUGUUGGGUGUUUGUUCCGCCUCUGUGUGUGAACUCGCCUCAAAACAAUUGGCAGCCGGCGUACUUGUUUCGGAGCGCAGCACAUUUUGCGAUCCAGAUCAACGUACAGCGGCAUCCAAGAAGCCUUAUUUAACGCUCUUGACCUCGGAUCAGGUAGGGAUACCCGCUGAACUUAAGCAUAUCAAAGCGGAGGA